ACUUUUAAUGGAUAGCAGCAGUCCGA
RNAcentral lists this transfer RNA (26 nucleotides) under Agama atra (Southern rock agama). RNAcentral's name for it is "partial tRNA-Leu". The record is from RNAcentral. Lineage: Eukaryota; Metazoa; Chordata; Lepidosauria; Squamata; Agamidae.